AUCCACGCUCUAGAUAGGGGAGGCCACUGGUACAGGUGACGCACAGUUCUCAACCUCACGGAGUUCGAGUGGGUGGGACGUUGAGAGAGCGGAGAGCCGUAACGGUGAUGACAGCUGGGGAGUCCUAGGGAAGAUGCAACUAAUGACUUACGUAGUAAGAAGGUCAAAGAGGUGGGGGACCUGACUCUGUACGUAGAUUUAAACUUAGAACAAGAUGUCAAUAACGGCAACACAACAAUAGGACAGAAUCUUCACAACGAAGACUAACCACUACGAACCUGAUCGUCAAUAGGGAACACACGACUGUACGUGAACCUACCAACAUUGUCAAUAGAUAGGGAACAAUCGACUCUAAGUGAAUCUAUAGGGUACAUGAAGACCUCCCGGAGAAACAGUUCUGACUCGCUUAUCAACUUAUAUGCGAGUGAAACUUCUACUCUUGACACUUCAGACUUCUUCAACGAUCGCGGUUGGUUAAGUCUGAGUGUUGAUACUUCUAUUUCCGGGUUGUAGAAAGGGGAGGUCACUGGAGCGGAGGUGGACGACGAACAGUUCAACUCACCUCACGGAGCUAGAGUGAACGUGAAGUCGAGAGAGACAGCGGAACUAGCUAACGACGUACGUAACGAGAAGGCUGGACUUGACGAGGUGGUGGUCACUACGUUGCGAACAGAUUUGAACUUAUAGACAAGAUGUCAAUAACAACAAUUAAACAAUAGGACAGAACCGCACAAUGAAAACUAACCACUACGAACAUUUUCAAUGGGGAACACUUGACUCUACAUGAUCGUAAGUUAUUAAAGUAAAUAAUAGAGCCAGGGUU
RNAcentral lists this ribosomal RNA (823 nucleotides) under Triticum aestivum (bread wheat). RNAcentral describes it as "partial small subunit ribosomal RNA". The record is from RNAcentral. Lineage: Eukaryota; Viridiplantae; Streptophyta; Magnoliopsida; Poales; Poaceae.